AUGCCUUAAACUGAUGAGUAAGGAAAAUAACGACGCGGGGUGACGCCCGUGUCCUCGUUCACAUACGAGAGGAAUUUUUGAACGGGUACAGGUCCGCGCGCUGAGGUGAUUCACCUACUUUGUGAGAUGCCUCGCGAGACUAGGAUCUGCCCC
This 153-nucleotide small nuclear RNA is filed under the name Myripristis murdjan (pinecone soldierfish). Its description in RNAcentral is "U12 minor spliceosomal RNA (ENSMMDG00005004376.1)". It matches the Rfam family "U12 minor spliceosomal RNA". Rfam says of the family: Although the U12 sequence is very divergent from that of U2, the two are functionally analogous. The record is from Rfam by way of RNAcentral. Lineage: Eukaryota; Metazoa; Chordata; Actinopteri; Holocentriformes; Holocentridae.